Molecule: long non-coding RNA, 603 nt
Organism: Propithecus coquereli (Coquerel's sifaka)
Lineage: Eukaryota; Metazoa; Chordata; Mammalia; Primates; Indriidae
Exons: 3
Source: RefSeq, a predicted model, not a curated record
ACAAUUGGGGCUGAUGCAAAUCAGUUGCAUAAGAAACUCUGUUGGAGAAAAUAGUCGCUGAAAUUCGGAAGAAUCUGUCUUUCCUGCUUAUUUUUCAAGCAUACUCUCACAUAUUUAAAUCAGCAAAUUUCAAGUGGAACCAAGUAAAGGACUGUUCUAUUGGUCAGGCUCACGUGUAAACACAGUUAUGUCAGCAGUAUUUUGACGGCAGAAAUGGUCCCAGUACACAGGCUGUUGUCGCAACUAAAAUUUUUACAAUCCCUUCAGAUCAUCCGUGGAGUAACUGGAGAGCCGCGUGUGGGAGGCCCGGGCUUCCCGGCCACAAGGAGUCUUCUUUCCCGCCUUGGAGGGAGCGGGCCGGCUCCGGCCUGGCCGAUCCGCAGGCCCCGCGGUCUGUUGGGUCCCCUGCUCUCGUAGUCACGGCACCUCUUCUUACGUCUAUUACAAGAAAGUGUUCAGAAGAGCCAACUUAUUUCCUCAAGAAAAAGAAAUCAAGAGCCUGGUGUGUUUCGCCUCAUGCUUUGGAUACACUAAUCCAAAUCAGGCCGCUUAGCGAACUUGUCCCUCCUCUGUCUGCUCUGCAGUUGGUGGCCCACCCUGUCA